This 354-nucleotide RNase P RNA is filed under the name Lysobacter sp. Its description in RNAcentral is "RNase P RNA component class A". It matches the Rfam family "Bacterial RNase P class A". Rfam says of the family: Ribonuclease P (RNase P) is a ubiquitous endoribonuclease, found in archaea, bacteria and eukarya as well as chloroplasts and mitochondria. Its best characterised activity is the generation of mature 5'-ends of tRNAs by cleaving the 5'-leader elements of precursor-tRNAs. Cellular RNase Ps are ribonucleoproteins. RNAcentral also lists the same sequence under 2 other names. The record is from RNAcentral. Lineage: Bacteria; Pseudomonadati; Pseudomonadota; Gammaproteobacteria; Lysobacterales; Lysobacteraceae.
GGAGUCGGCCAGGCAGUCGCGUCAUCCUUCGGGAUGCCGAGGAAAGUCCGGGCUCCACAGGGCACGGUGCCAGGUAACGCCUGGGCGGCGCGAGCCGACGGAAAGUGCAACAGAGAGCAGACCGCCGAACGGCGUCGCAAGACGUGCGUGGCAAGGGUGAAACGGUGCGGUAAGAGCGCACCGCGAGUCUGGCAACAGACCGGCACGGCAAACCCCACCGGGAGCAAGACCAAAUAGGGAGGCAAUGCCGCGGCCCGCGGUGCCUCCGGGUAGGUUGCUUGAGCGUAUCGGUGACGAUGCGCCUAGAGGAAUGAUUGCCCACGACAGAACCCGGCUUAUCGGCCGGCUCCGCCC